AUUACUUUGGUGUUUGGCAGCUCUAUUUCGUUCCCUGACUGUAACCAAAUCUAGAUGUAGGAAUCUGUUGAGCAGGAGAGUGACACAUGUCUUCCCGAAGGCUGUCCAGGCUGCAGUGGUGAUGAAGAAGACACGAUCAUCACCCCGAGAUCGAUUGUAGCGAAUUGGAAAACUCAUGGUGAAUUUGCUUCCACUUCAAGGCAAUGUCGAGGUAUGAAGGGUGCUUGUACUGCCUUCCAAAGUGAAGCGGAGAUGAACAUGGAUUUGCAUAACUGUUGUUCUACGCCAACUUACCUACUCUUGCUGGUACCGUAGUGGUAUAUUGCAAAUUUCGUGGACGAACAACUCUAGUCACUAGUGGCUAGUGAGCAACACUAACAGGAAAAUCCGGCCUUGUAGCUCGCCGCUUGGCAGCAACGCUGAGCUCGAUCAGCGUGCCGUGUGAAUUUGUCCACGCCACCGAGUUUCACCAUGGCGAUCUAGGCAAGGUCAGCAAGGAUAGCAUCGUCAUGUUGCUGUCACACAGCGGGAACACGGCCGAGACGGUCGCUCUGUGCGAUGAACUGAAGCAGCGUGGCGCCAGCGUUGUGGCAUUGACCUCUUUAGGGCGCGCUCACACUGCGACCAUGAGCACGCGUCCAUGCGUCAGCAAAACGCAGAAACGUGGGAGUCGUGCUCACACUAGGCCUCGUACACGCGUAGACGUGAAGUUGUCACACAAACUUUACGAAUUGCAGUUCGUAUCCAAAAGAGUCCGUGCGUUUCCUAAUAAAGUUGUGGCCCGUUUUGGAUGUAAUUUUUCGCAUGUUGCAUGUUGGAGGAAGUGCCUCGUGGCUCGUAUUAUUGAAGUCGACGAAAAUACUUCAUACAAUCAGGUAGGUUUGGACUCUUGAGGGACUGCCGCUGACAUCCAAGCGCUUUCGCUUUCCUGACCUCGUGGUCAGAGCAAGUGCCAGUGCAGUGGAAAUUCCGGUAGUGGUUUCUUUCGUCUGUUGCCGAGAUGAGAAUUGUAUUUUCCGAUGAUAUGUAACUGAAAUGUCUUGAGGUAUGGCAUUCCAUCAUCGCAGAAAAGUAAAGAAAGAUAAUUUCCGAAACCGAAAAGCCAGACCAAGCUGCCAUCGUAUUGAACGAGUACACUGUAGAAAUUGGUCACUGACCCGAUCACAACGAAGCAACUACAAAAACAAAAUCGACAUCGUCCAAAAAGGGUAAAGAAUGCAUAUAUGGCGGUGCGUGCGUGCAGGACCACAACUACAAAAUUUUUAAAAUGUGCAAAUGUCGAGGUGACAUCGACAACCGCCGAUGUUCAUGAAUCAACACACCGGAAUUUGAGAAAUUGAACAUACUUCAGGCCAGGUUGUACACAAAUACGCUUCACGUCUACGAUCAUGUUGCCGCCAAGUCGUGGCACCCCCCUCCGGGGGUCGCGGUCACGAUUUGAAACGUGGCCGCGACGUUUUGGUCAAGUUCAUGCCGUUGCCAUGCAACUUGGCCGCAUGGCCGCAUGGACGCUGGUUUUGGUCGCAGUGUGAGCGCGCCCUAAUCCAGGUUUGUUUGCUUGAUCGUCAAUCGUGCGUUCCAAUGUCAUCCCUGCACAAUGUCAAGACGGGUGUGCGUGGCAGUAAUCCCUGUUGGUAUAAUUGUGUAACUGGAAUAUUCAAAACUUCGGCGGCUAUUCAAUUUCGGCUUUAUACGGCACCGACCCAAACCGCCGAAAUUAAAACGCUGAUGAAAUUUUCACUUCAGCUUUGGUGAUGUACACUGUACUAGUAUUGUAAUCCCGUGCCGAAAAUACAUCGCUGCUGAAAAUGUCGAAAAUCGUGAAAUGCCGAAAUGUUGCAGCGACAGAAUUUUGUAUAUUUAUGGUCUGUGAUUGUCUGUGUGGUUUAGCCAGGCAAAGACGGGUAAGACGGGUAUGUUCUUGGUGGUGUCUUCAUCAUGCACAAUGCAUUAUACGCUUUCCACUAGCGUUUCGGGAAUCUGUGUUUUUUUUAAUUCUUUAUUCUCACGAUGGCACCAUCGCCAAUAAGAGAUUAUUGCGGGCAUCAUUGCCACAGACAAGGUCUUUUCUGAAGUAGUUACUGCUAUUCUUUUUGCUGCACUGACUUUCAGAUUCCCGUCUGGCCCAGCUCGUCGAGCCGUGCAACGUGGUGGCGUACGGACCAUGCAGCCUGACCGAACCCGCCGGCGGCGUUCCAACAGCCAGUCUAGUUGCUCAGGAGUCACUCGUCAACUGCAUCACCAAUGACAUCAUCACCAAGACCAAAUUCGACGCUGGUCGUUUCCGUGGCAACCACCCUGGCGGCGCACUGGGCGCAUCUCUGCCAAAGUCCUGAGCGGCUUUGUCGUGGCGGCAAGCAUCCGUUUUCCUACGACGCGCUAUACCAAGCGACGGAAUCGAGUUUUAUCAUUGCAUGCGUGUGAGUGUAUGCCUGGAACUGCAGGUCCAGUUUCCAGGUGUUUACCGUUGUUCUCAUUGUCCUGUUUCCGUACUUUAUGCAGGGACGGUUUAAAAGCCUGAUCACCUGCUCUAGUGUUACCUUCUAUUCUAAACAUUA
Molecule: long non-coding RNA, 2558 nt
Organism: Sycon ciliatum
Lineage: Eukaryota; Metazoa; Porifera; Calcarea; Leucosolenida; Sycettidae
Exons: 4
Source: RefSeq, a predicted model, not a curated record